RNAcentral lists this ribosomal RNA (425 nucleotides) under uncultured bacterium. RNAcentral's name for it is "bacterial SSU rRNA". It matches the Rfam family "Bacterial small subunit ribosomal RNA", at positions 29 to 498 of the family's 1533-position model. The record is from RNAcentral.
AGCGAACGCUGGCGGCAUGCUUAACACAUGCAAGUCGCACGGUCAGCAAUGGCAGUGGCGGACGGGUGAGUAACGCGUAGGAAUUUAUCUCUGGGUGGGGGACAACUGUGGGAAACUACAGCUAAUACCGCAUGACGCCUGAGGGCCAAAGCAGUAAUGCGCCUGGAGAGGAGCCUGCGUCUGAUUAGCUUGUUGGUGGGGUAAAGCUUACCAAGGCGACGAUCAGUAGCUGGUCUGAGAGGAUGAUCAGCCACAUUGGGACUGAGACACGGGCCAAACCCCUACGGGAGGCAGCAGUGGGGAAUAUUGGACAAUGGGGGCAACCCUGAUCCAGCAAUGCCGCGUGUGUGAAGAAGGGUCUUCGGGAUUGUAAAGCACUUUUGGCAGGGACGAUGAUGACGGUACCUGCAGAAUAAGCCCCGGCU